UACGUAGGGUGCGAGCGUUGUCCGGAAUUAUUGGGCGUAAAGGGCUCGUAGGCGGUCUGUUGCGUCAGGAGUGAAAACUCGGGGCUUAACCCCGAGCCUGCUUCUGAUACGGGCAGACUAGAGGUAUGCAGGGGAGAACGGAAUUCCUGGUGUAGCGGUGAAAUGCGCAGAUAUCAGGAGGAACACCGGUGGCGAAGGCGGUUCUCUGGGCAUUACCUGACGCUGAGGAGCGAAAGCCGGGGGAGCAAACAGG
Molecule: ribosomal RNA, 253 nt
Filed under: uncultured bacterium
Lineage: Bacteria
Description: partial 16S ribosomal RNA
Rfam family: Bacterial small subunit ribosomal RNA
Source: RNAcentral